This 77-nucleotide transfer RNA is filed under the name Slackia piriformis. RNAcentral describes it as "tRNA-Pro". It matches the Rfam family "tRNA". From Rfam's summary of the family: Transfer RNA (tRNA) molecules are approximately 80 nucleotides in length. Their secondary structure includes four short double-helical elements and three loops (D, anti-codon, and T loops). The record is from RNAcentral. RNAcentral also lists the same sequence under 3 other names. Lineage: Bacteria; Bacillati; Actinomycetota; Coriobacteriia; Eggerthellales; Eggerthellaceae.
CGGGUUGUGGCUCAGUUUGGUAGAGCGCUGCGUUCGGGACGCAGAGGUCGCAGGUUCAAAUCCUGUCAACCCGACCA